AUGGACCACGCCUACAAGUUCGGAAUGAUGGUAUGCAAGCAGACUGUAAUCUACACCGAGCAGGCGAAGUACUUUGCAGCACGGGAGAAAGUACACAAGCAGCAACUCCAAUUCCUGCGGAGCGAAGUCGAAAGACUUCCAAGCAGCGGUGGAAAACACCACACCAUCAACCAGUUGGGACUGGAACUCGGGACAUCCCAGGCCAGCUUAACAGCUACGCAGACCGAUCUGGACGCCACAAAAAACGAAUUGGACGACCUCCACUGCAUGAACGCCUCCCAAGAACUGGACGACAUCCACUGCAUGACCGCCUACCAAGAUACUGAUUCCCCGCAUCAGAGAUUGUGUUCUAAGAGAGUCGAUGAAGAUGACUUCAUGGACGAGAAUGGGAACGGAGAUCUACCACCAGGCCCCUGAAAACAGAAACGGAGGACAAUGUAAAUAGUGUGUAAAUAGUGUGAUGUGUUGUAAGCGCG
RNAcentral lists this long non-coding RNA (476 nucleotides) under Gadus morhua (Atlantic cod). Its description in RNAcentral is "lncRNA (ENSGMOG00000031350.1)". Lineage: Eukaryota; Metazoa; Chordata; Actinopteri; Gadiformes; Gadidae. The record is from RNAcentral.